Long non-coding RNA from Sapajus apella (tufted capuchin), 139 nucleotides. RefSeq lists it as uncharacterized. The transcript is spliced from 5 exons. The record is from RefSeq and is a predicted model, not a curated record. NCBI's taxonomy places the organism in Eukaryota, Metazoa, Chordata, Mammalia, Primates, Cebidae.
GGGGACUUUGGACAUUCCGAUUGUUACUUAAGUGGUUCACAGAAGUCAAGAUAAGCGUUAGUUUGCACAUUGUCUGAGUUGGGUGGAAAUUAUAGACUUUAGUUACUUAUUACAAGCUGCAUGAGCCAGGCUGGAAUUA